Molecule: unclassified non-coding RNA, 1387 nt
Filed under: Hevea brasiliensis (rubber tree)
Lineage: Eukaryota; Viridiplantae; Streptophyta; Magnoliopsida; Malpighiales; Euphorbiaceae
Source: RNAcentral
UCAUCUGGAAUUACCUUUUCAAAUCUGAAUCUUUUCACCAAGUUGUGCAUAAAAACAAGUAUUUCCAAUCGAGCAUACUCUUUUCCAGGGCACAUUCUUGGUCCUCCACCAAAUGGCACGAAGGUGUAAGGAGCUGGUCCUUUCCCUUCAAAUCUGCUGGGAUCAAAUUUUUCAGGUUCUGAGAAGUACUCUGGAUUCUUAUGGGUUGAGUUUGCACUCCAAUACAGCUUCCAGCCUCUUGGAAUAGAAAAACCAUUGAAGAUGAAAUCAGUGAUGGCUUCCCUGAAAGCACCUUGAACAGGAGGAGCAAGUCUCAUUACUUCACAAGCCACGUUCCAUGAAUAUUUCAUUUUUUGAAUGUCAUCCCAGUUCAGCAACUCUCCUUCCUCUUUUGUUUUAGCAAUCUCCAUUUGCUCCUUGUAAACUUCCUGGAAAAUGUGCGGGAGUUCAGAGAGAUACUUGACAAUGAAAGUGCAAGCAGCACUAGCAGUAUCAUGUCCACCAAUCAACAAUCCAAGAAUCUUGUCUGCAAUAUCCCUUUCAUUCAUGAACUCUCCAUUCUCAUCACUUGUAUUCAACAUAUGAGACAAAAUAUCUUGUGUAUUCGAUGCCUUUCCUAUUGCAAGAUCAAUCUUUCUUUGCUUGAUGAUGCCCAGAAGCUCCUUCCUUAUAAGCUGUGAGGCCUUGAUAGCUCUUCGAAAGGGUGUUCCAGGAAAAUCAAUGGGAAUGGAAAUGAUUCCUGAGGCCAAGACCUGAAAAGGGUCUGAAAAUUUAGCUAUGUGGGCAGGAUCUUCCACGCUUACAAAGAGACGACAGGCUAACCAGAAGGUGAAAUUCUUUGCCAGAGGGAACACAACCACUUCAUCUUUAUUCUCCCACCCCGAGGCAAAGUGCCUCUGCGCGAUUGUAUCCAUGAUACCUAUAUAUCGCUGCAAAGCCUCAGGUUUGAAGAACUGAGGAAGAAGCUUUCUCAUUUUCUUGGCUUCUUCGUUGGAAGAAGUCUGUAGAGAAGAAGGAAAUACUUUGUUCACAGAAUCAGGCCACCAGGCUACAACAAGCUUGUUCUCAUUGGAGAACAUGAACUUGUUACCUGCAGCCCCGCAAAGCACAGCUGCAGGGUGGCCAAGGAGAUUAGUUUUGAAAACAUCAGAGGAGUAUUUAGUUUUCCGAUCAAAGACAAACUUUUCAGGGUGACCUUUCCAACCUGUGGACAAGAAAUCCAGGCUCUCUCCCACAUAGGGAAGGCCUGGUUUCCCUGGAGGAAGGUUAGGGUACUUGUAUUGGGAGAUGUGCUUGUAGAAAAGGAAAAAGAGAGAGAGUGUGAUAAAGGACAUGAAGAGGAGAAGAAGGGUGAGGUAGUAAUGGUCCAUUUUUGCUUUCUUUUUUU